AUUUUCUGCCACCGAAUACAUUAGCAUGGGAUAAUGGAAUAGGACCCUGUCCUCCUAUUUUCAGUUGGUUUUGGCAGCGCGAGGACUAGGGUAAUGAUUAAUAGGGAUAGUUGGGGGCAUUAAUAUUUAAUUGUCAGAGGUGAAAUUCUUGGAUUUAUGAAAGAUUAACUUCUGCGAAAGCAUCUGCCAAGGAUGUUUUCAUUAAUCAAGAACGAAAGUUAGGGGAUCGAAGACGAUCAGAUACCGUCGUAGUCUUAACCAUAAACGAUGCCGACCAGCGAUUAGGAGACGUUGAAUACAAAACACCACCAUCGGCGCGGUCGUCCUUGGCGUUCGUGUUCACGCACGGGCGCGAGGGCGGCUUAGCCCGAUGGCACCGGUGAAUGACUACCCUAGC
RNAcentral lists this ribosomal RNA (397 nucleotides) under Acanthamoeba genotype T4. RNAcentral describes it as "SSU rRNA". The stretch from base 1 to 341 matches the Rfam family "Eukaryotic small subunit ribosomal RNA", at positions 784 to 1114 of the family's 1831-position model. Lineage: Eukaryota; Discosea; Longamoebia; Acanthamoebidae. The record is from RNAcentral.